Molecule: unclassified non-coding RNA, 316 nt
Filed under: Entoloma serrulatum
Lineage: Eukaryota; Fungi; Basidiomycota; Agaricomycetes; Agaricales; Entolomataceae
Description: partial contains 5.8S ribosomal RNA, internal transcribed spacer 2, and large subunit ribosomal RNA
Source: RNAcentral
CGCACCUUGCGCUCCUUGGUAUUCCGAGGAGCAUGCCUGUUUGAGUGUCGUGAAAUUCUCAACCUCUCUAUGUUUUAAUAUUUUAAAGCUAGUCAGGCUUGGAUUUUGGGAAUUGCUGGUUCAUUAAUGAAGUCAGCUCUCCUUAAAUGUAUUAGCAAGAUUCAUCGCUGGCUCACUUGUGAUAUGAUAAUUAUCUAUGUCAUCAAUGAAACAGUGUUUUCCUUCCCAGGAAAGAUCUAGCUUCUAAAUGUCUCGUCUGAGAUAAUUUAUUUGACUAUUUGACCUCAAAUCAGGUAGGACUACCCGCUGAACUUAA